RNA transcript from Coffea arabica (coffee), 778 nucleotides. RefSeq lists it as uncharacterized. The record is from RefSeq and is a predicted model, not a curated record. Lineage: Eukaryota; Viridiplantae; Streptophyta; Magnoliopsida; Gentianales; Rubiaceae.
UUGAUUCAGCCAGAAUAACAAAGUUUUUUGAGUUUGUAUGCAUUCUGAAUAGGUUUAGCUACAUUGUUCUGAAACUGCAUUACUGAUUUUCUGAUCGUAUGUUAGUUAAUGGAUAGGCACAAGGAUAUACUGUCGUCUUCUGUGAAUAAGAAUUUACUGAAUGAACAGGAUGAACUUGAAACACACUCAAAGCCAGAUAGCAUCUCCGUUUCUGUCUUUUUUGGUGGGGAUCGGAGCAGUGACCCUAGAGUGAUUGCUGAACCUAAUGUGAUCUUGACCACACACAGUGUCUUAACGGCUGCUUGAUGGGGAGAAGAGCAUUUUCCACAGAGUUGACUGGUACAGAGUGGUUUUGGAUGAAGCUCAUACCAUCAAGUCCUAUAAAACUCUAGGUGCCCAGGCUGCCUUCAAAUUGUCAUCCUAUUGCAUGUGGUGUCUUACUGGUACCCCUCUUCAGGUGGCAAAAACUGAUUCAGAAGCCAUAUGAGAGUGGUGAUUAUAGAGGGAUAAAGCUGAUCAAGGCUAUUUGGAGGCCACUAAAGCUCUACUAUUUACAGACAGAAGUGAUUAUCAUUUCUUUUUAUGGAAAUAUGGUUAUGUGUUACAUCAAGCCUUCUCCUUCUAGAUUUAGACUGACCAGAUAUGUAGCUCAUGAAAUAAUCACUGCCUAUGGAUGAAGCUCUCAAUAUUGACAACCUCAACAUCAACAAUCUCAAGAUUAAUGACUGACAAUCUACUUGUUGUGUUAUUUUUAAUUGUACCUUUGCUACACCGACGA